GGACUGAGACACGGCCCAGACUCCUACGGGAGGCAGCAGUGGGGAAUCUUGGACAAUGGGGGCAACCCUAAUCCAGCGACGCCGCGUGGAUGACGAAGGCCUUAGGGUUGUAAAGUCCUUUUCUCGGGGAAGAUGAUGACGGUACCCGAGGAAUAAGCAUCGGCUAACUCCGUGCCAGCAGCCGCGGUAAUACGGAGGAUGCAAGCGUUAUCCGGAAUGAUUGGGCGUAAAGGGUCCGCAGGUGGCUAUGUAAGUCUGCUGUUAAAGAAUCUAGCUCAACUAGAUAAAAGCAGUGGAAACUACAAGGCUAGAGUGCGUUCGGGGUAGAGGGAAUUCCUGGUGUAGCGGUGAAAUGCGUAGAUAUCAGGAAGAACACCAGUGGCGAAGGCGCUCUACUAGGCCGCAACUGACACUGAGGGACGAAAGCUAGGGGAGCGAAUGGGAUUAGAUACCCCAGUAGUCCUAGCCGUAAACGAUGGAUACUAGGCGUGGCUCGUAUCGACCCGAGCCGUGCCGGAGCUAACGCGUUAAGUAUCCCGCCUGGGGAGUACGCACGCAAGUGUGAAACUCAAAGGAAUUGACGGGGGCCCGCACAAGCGGUGGAGUAUGUGGUUUAAUUCGAUGCAACGCGAAGAACCUUACCAAGACUUGACAUGUCGCGAAUCUCUCUGAAAGGAGAGAGUGCCUUCGGGAGCGCGAACACAGGUGGUGCAUGGCUGUCGUCAGCUCGUGUCGUGAGAUGUUGGGUUAAGUCCCGCAACGAGCGCAACCCUCGUUUUUAGUUGCCAGCAUUAAGUUGGGCACUCUAGAGAGACUGCCGGUGACAAACCGGAGGAAGGUGGGGAUGACGUCAGGUCAGCAUGCCCCUUACGUCUUGGGCUACACACGUACUACAAUGCUACGGACAAAGGGCAGCUACACAGCAAUGUGAUGCAAAUCUCACAAAACCGUAGCUCAGUUCAGAUCGCAGGCUGCAACUCGCCUGCGUGAAGUCGGAAUCGCUAGUAAUUGCAGGUCAGCAUACUGCAGUGAAUUCGUUCCCGGGCCUUGUACACACCGCCCGUCACACCAUGGAAGCUGGUCACGCCCGAAGUCGUUACCCCAACUGUUCGCAGAGGGGGAUGCCGAAGGCAGGACUGGUGACUGGGGUGAAGUCGUAACAAGGUAGCCGUACCGGAAGGUGUGGCUG
RNAcentral lists this ribosomal RNA (1189 nucleotides) under metagenome. RNAcentral describes it as "bacterial SSU rRNA". It matches the Rfam family "Bacterial small subunit ribosomal RNA", at positions 316 to 1520 of the family's 1533-position model. The record is from RNAcentral.